Molecule: ribosomal RNA, 301 nt
Filed under: uncultured bacterium
Lineage: Bacteria
Description: partial 16S ribosomal RNA
Rfam family: Bacterial small subunit ribosomal RNA
Source: RNAcentral
CAGCAGCCGCGGGAAUACGUAGGGUGCGAGCGUUAAUCGGAAUUACUGGGCGUAAAGCGUGCGCAGGCGGUUGUGUAAGACAGGUGUGAAAUCCCCGGGCUUAACCUGGGAACUGCGCUUGUGACUGCACAGCUAGAGUAUGGCAGAGGGGGGUGGAAUUCCACGUGUAGCAGUGAAAUGCGUAGAGAUGUGGAGGAACACCGAUGGCGAAGGCAGCCCCCUGGGCCAAUACUGACGCUCAUGCACGAAAGCGUGGGGAGCAAACAGGAUUAGAGACCCGCGUAGUCCCUGUCUCUUAUAC